This 400-nucleotide ribosomal RNA is filed under the name uncultured bacterium. RNAcentral describes it as "bacterial SSU rRNA". It matches the Rfam family "Bacterial small subunit ribosomal RNA", at positions 356 to 773 of the family's 1533-position model. The record is from RNAcentral.
GGGGAAUGUUGCACAAUGGGGGAAACCCUGAUGCAGCAACGCCGCGUGAGCGAUGAAGGCCUUCGGGUUGUAAAGCUCUGUCUUCAGGGACGAUAAUGACGGUACCUGAGGAGGAAGCCACGGCUAACUACGUGCCAGCAGCCGCGGUAAUACGUAGGUGGCAAGCGUUGUCCGGAAUUAUUGGGCGUAAAGGAUGCGUAGGCGGUCCUUUAAGUGGGAUGUGAAAUCCCUGGGCUUAACCCAGGAAUAGCAUUCCAAACUGGAGGACUAGAGUGCAGGAGAGGAAAGUGGAAUUCCCAGUGUAGCGGUGAAAUGCGUAGAGAUUGGGAGGAACACCAGUGGCGAAGGCGGCUUUCUGGACUGUAACUGACGCUGAGGCAUGAAAGCGUGGGGAGCAAAC